AUGCAGGCUCCGAUGUUCCAACAUAAGGAUUGCAUCAGACCGUCAUGUCUUAAACUUCCAAAUUGGGGUGUAGGCGAAUAUGGGUUUAUGAGCGUAAAUACGGAUACUGGAGCUGGUCGGGCCUUCUUAAGAUCUCUUUACCGACAGUAUGCAGAUUGGGGUGUUGAUUUUGGUAUGCUAUUUCUAAGUCUGUACUUUGCUAGAUUCAUUCAUCACAAAGACCACAGUGAUCCAUAUUGUAUUAAGUCACCUAACCAGCGGACGACAGGGGUAGGUAGGGCGGCUGCCGUAACGCUUCGCACGCUAAACCCUAGCCGCCUCAUCCUCUCGCUGCCGCCAUGGUGCGGCGGCGGGAGGAUCGGUCCAGAGGUGGCUUGCCAGGAAAGUUUUGAGGACCUGGAGGGCUGUUGUGGUCGGAGAUGA
RNAcentral lists this ribosomal RNA (423 nucleotides) under Triticum aestivum (bread wheat). RNAcentral's name for it is "partial small subunit ribosomal RNA". Lineage: Eukaryota; Viridiplantae; Streptophyta; Magnoliopsida; Poales; Poaceae. The record is from RNAcentral.